RNAcentral lists this ribosomal RNA (406 nucleotides) under uncultured bacterium. RNAcentral's name for it is "partial 16S ribosomal RNA". It matches the Rfam family "Bacterial small subunit ribosomal RNA", at positions 29 to 526 of the family's 1533-position model. The record is from RNAcentral.
AUUGAACGCUGGCGGCAGGCUUAACACAUGCAAGUCGAGCGAGCGGCGGACGCGUGAGAAAUGUGUGGGAAACAGCCUGAUGGCGGGGGAUAACUACUGGAAACGGUACCGAAUACCGCAUACCAUCAGAUGUGCCCAGAGGGGAUUAGCUAGUAGGUGGGGGAAUGGCUCACCAAGGCGACGAUCCCUAUCUGGUGUGAGAGGAUGACCAGCCACACUGGAACUGAGACACGGUCCAGACUCCUACGGGAGGCAGCAGUGGGGAAUAUUGCACAAUGGGCGCAAGCCUGAUGCAGCCAUGCCGCGUGUGUGAAGAAGGCCUUCGGGUUGUAAAGCACUUUCAGCGAGGAGGCGUUACUCGCAGAAGAAGCACCGGCUAACUCCGUGCCAGCAGCCGCGGUAAUAC